Molecule: ribosomal RNA, 301 nt
Filed under: uncultured bacterium
Lineage: Bacteria
Description: partial 16S ribosomal RNA
Rfam family: Bacterial small subunit ribosomal RNA
Source: RNAcentral
CAGUCGCCACGGUAAUACGAAGGGUGCAAGCGUUAAUCGGAAUUACUGGGCGUAAAGCGUGCGUAGGCGGUGAGUUAAGUCUGCUGUGAAAUCCCCGGGCUCAACCUGGGAAUGGCAGUGGAUACUGGCUCGCUAGAGUGUGUCAGAGGAUGGUGGAAUUCCCGGUGUAGCGGUGAAAUGCGUAGAGAUCGGGAGGAACAUCAGUGGCGAAGGCGGCCAUCUGGGACAACACUGACGCUGAGGCACGAAAGCGUGGGGAGCAAACAGGAUAAGAGACCCGAGUAGUCCCUGUCUCUUAUAC